This 74-nucleotide transfer RNA is filed under the name Pseudomonadota bacterium. Its description in RNAcentral is "tRNA-Gln". It matches the Rfam family "tRNA". Rfam says of the family: Transfer RNA (tRNA) molecules are approximately 80 nucleotides in length. Their secondary structure includes four short double-helical elements and three loops (D, anti-codon, and T loops). The record is from RNAcentral. Lineage: Bacteria; Pseudomonadati; Pseudomonadota. RNAcentral also lists the same sequence under 1 other name.
UGCGGGGUCGGCUAAUGGCAGGCCAUGGGGCUUUGGACCCCAGAGUCCAGGUUCGAGUCCUGGCCCCGCAGCCA